CCUACGGGGGGCAGCAGUGAGGAAUAUUGGUCAAUGGGCGGAAGCCUGAACCAGCCAAGUAGCGUGCAGGAUGACGGCCCUACGGGUUGUAAACUGCUUUUAUACGGGAAUAACGCGCCUUACGUGUAGGGCUUUGCAUGUCCCGUAUGAAUAAGGACCGGCUAAUUCCGUGCCAGCAGCCGCGGUACUACGGAAGGUCCGGGCGUUAUCCGGAUUGAUUGGGUUUAAAGGGAGCGUAGGCCGCAUGUCAAGCGUGCUGUGAAAUGUCCGGGCUCAACCCGGGCCUUGCAGCGCGAACUGGCGUGCUUGAGGCCGCGGAAAGGAGGCGGGAUUCGGCGGGGAGCGGGGAAAUGCUUA
This 357-nucleotide ribosomal RNA is filed under the name uncultured bacterium. RNAcentral's name for it is "partial 16S ribosomal RNA". It matches the Rfam family "Bacterial small subunit ribosomal RNA", at positions 338 to 692 of the family's 1533-position model. The record is from RNAcentral.